Molecule: ribosomal RNA, 458 nt
Filed under: uncultured bacterium
Lineage: Bacteria
Description: SSU rRNA
Rfam family: Bacterial small subunit ribosomal RNA
Source: RNAcentral
AGAACGAACGCUGGCGGCGUGCCUAACACAUGCAAGUCGCACGAGAAAGGGGAGCAAUCCCUGAGUAAAGUGGCGCACGGGUGAGUAACACGUGAAUAAUCUACCUCCGAGUGGGGAAUAACUGAGAGAAAUCUUAGCUAAUACCGCAUAACACUUACGAGUCAAAGCAGCAAUGCGCUUGGAGAGGAGUUCGCGGCCGAUUAGUUAGUUGGCGGGGUAAUGGCCCACCAAGACGAUGAUCGGUAUCCGGCCUGAGAGGGCGCACGGACACACUGGAACUGAAACACGGUCCAGACUCCUACGGGAGGCAGCAGUGGGGAAUUUUGCGCAAUGGGGGAAACCCUGACGCAGCAACGCCGCGUGGAGGAUGAAGCCCCUUGGGUGUAAACUCCUUUCGAUCGGGAAGAUAAUGACGGUACCGAUAUAAGAAGCCCGGCUAACUUCGCGCCAGCAGCCGC